RNAcentral lists this ribosomal RNA (492 nucleotides) under uncultured bacterium. RNAcentral's name for it is "partial 16S ribosomal RNA". It matches the Rfam family "Bacterial small subunit ribosomal RNA", at positions 29 to 507 of the family's 1533-position model. The record is from RNAcentral.
AGUGAACGCUGGCGGUAGGCCUAACACAUGCAAGUCGAACGGCAGCACAGUAAGAGCUUGCUCUUACGGGUGGCGAGUGGCGGACGGGUGAGGAAUACAUCGGACUCUACUUUUUCGUGGGGGAUCACGUAGGGAAACUUACGCUAAUACCGCAUACGACCUACGGGUGAAAGCAGGGGAUCUUCGGACCUUGCGCGAUUGAAUGAGCCGAUGUCGGAUUAGCUAGUUGGCGGGGUAAAGGCCCACCAAGGCGACGAUCCGUAGCUGGUCUGAGAGGAUGAUCAGCCACACUAGAACUGAGACACGGUCCAGACUCCUACGGGAGGCAGCAGUGGGGAAUAUUGGACAAUGGGCGCAAGCCUGAUCCAGCCAUACCGCGUGGGUGAAGAAGGCCUUCGGGUUGUAAAGCCCUUUUGUUGGGAAAGAAAAGCAGCAGGUUAAGACCCCGCUGUUCUGACGGUACCCAAAGAAUAAGCACCGGCUAACUUCGUG